ACGCGUGGAACCUUACCAGGUCUUGACAUCCUCUGACACUCCUAGAGAUAGGACGUUCCCCUUCGGGGGACAGAGUGACAGGUGGUGCAUGGUUGUCGUCAGCUCGUGUCGUGAGAUGUUGGGUUAAGUCCCGCAACGAGCGCAACCCUUGAUCUUAGUUGCCAGCAUUUAGUUGGGCACUCUAAGGUGACUGCCGGUGACAAACCGGAGGAAGGUGGGGAUGACGUCAAAUCAUCAUGCCCCUUAUGACCUGGGCUACACACGUGCUACAAUGGAUGGUACAAAGGGCAGCAAAGCGGUGACGCCUAGCAAAUCCCAUAAAACCAUUCUCAGUUCGGAUUGUAGGCUGCAACUCGCCUACAUGAAGCUGGAAUCGCUAGUAAUCGCGGAUCAGCAUGCCGCGGUGAAUACGUUCCCGGGCCUUGUACACACCGCCCGU
This 439-nucleotide ribosomal RNA is filed under the name uncultured bacterium. RNAcentral's name for it is "bacterial SSU rRNA". It matches the Rfam family "Bacterial small subunit ribosomal RNA", at positions 959 to 1397 of the family's 1533-position model. The record is from RNAcentral.